Molecule: ribosomal RNA, 253 nt
Filed under: uncultured Lactobacillus sp.
Lineage: Bacteria; Bacillati; Bacillota; Bacilli; Lactobacillales; Lactobacillaceae
Description: partial 16S ribosomal RNA
Rfam family: Bacterial small subunit ribosomal RNA
Source: RNAcentral
AACACGUGGGGAACCGUGCCCCACUAGUCUGGGAUACCACUUGGAAACAGGUGCUAAUACCGGAUAAGAAAGCGGAUCGCAUGAUCAGCUUUUAAAAGGCGGCGUAAGCUGUCGCUAUGGGAUGGCCCCGCGGUGCAUUGGCUAGUUGGUAAGGUAAAGGCUUACCAAGGCGAUGAUGCAUAGCCGAGUUGAGAGACUGAUCGGCCACAUUGGGACUGAGACACGGCCCAAACUCCUACGGGAGGCAGCAGCC